ACGACUUUAUUUGGGCUUUAUUGAGGCCUAAUAUAGUGGCCCAAUAAGUUGUUAAAGGCUUUGAUCUCUCGUUCGUGCCUCAAGUCGUCCUCGACAACCAUCAAUGCAGAGCCUCAACGCAAUACUCCUCUGUUGAAUGUGAUAAUUUGCAGCCUGCUCACGUCCCUUUCAUCUUUAUGUCUUCCUGUGCGGAAUGCCGAAGCCAACUGCAAUUCCCAGAGGAGAAUGCAAAAUGCCAGGCUUGAUCCACAAGCAGGAGAAGGAGGAGGAGGGUGGAAGGCUUCUCCAAUGGCCAGGUCAAGAAAGCGAGAGAAAGAAUAGGAAAACAAGGUAGGGACAGGGAGUGGAGCUUGAGGUGGAAGAAGAAAAAAAGCCAAAGCAUUUAUGUAGGCGGACAGCGACUUGAAACAGAGACAAUAAAGAAGGGCAUUUCGGUGAAUUCACACGGACAAAUGGAAUCCAAGAGAUCGCGGAGAAACUCUUAUUAAACCUCUUGUACUUUACUUAUUUUCAUUUUGCCCCCCAGAGAUCAAAGUAUUAAUACUAUUUUACUUAAUCACUUAAUUGAGUUUCACUGUUA
Long non-coding RNA from Zingiber officinale, 580 nucleotides. RefSeq lists it as uncharacterized. The record is from RefSeq and is a predicted model, not a curated record. The transcript is spliced from 2 exons. NCBI's taxonomy places the organism in Eukaryota, Viridiplantae, Streptophyta, Magnoliopsida, Zingiberales, Zingiberaceae.